This is a long non-coding RNA of Carassius carassius (crucian carp), 609 nucleotides long. RefSeq lists it as uncharacterized. The record is from RefSeq and is a predicted model, not a curated record. The transcript has 2 exons. Lineage: Eukaryota; Metazoa; Chordata; Actinopteri; Cypriniformes; Cyprinidae.
ACUGUGAAAACUGAGGAGGACUCUGGGUUAUUUAAGGGCAGCUGAGGAAUUUCCCGUGGUGCGUUUCACCUGCUGAUUGGACGGAAGUGGAAAGCUUUAUCGUGUUUUAUUUGGUGCCUAAGUUUGACUUGUUUUUUAAUUCCACCUGGAAUGAUGCACUGCAUGGGACUUAUUUCUAAUGUUUGCAUCACUUGCUUUUUUUAAGAAAAAAAAAAUAUUAUAAAGAACAAUAAUAAUAAAAAAAUUUAGGUUUGAAAAGGUCAAAAUACCUCCUCUGAAGACCAAUGUGUUUAUACCUCAGUGUAUGUUUCUUUUGAGAUGCUGAAGUGACACGAUGUCGCUGGGAUUGUGUUCCUGUGUUAUUGUCCAAACAGUAUAUUCCUUCUUUAAAGCAUUAUUUGGUUUCGUUCUGUUCUUUUCCUGUUCUGUAUGAAUUACAAGUGCUUUACUGAUGUCUCCUGUCCUUUAAUGCCUCCUCAGCUGUAUAGAAAUGCCUUGUACUGUGAGAGAAAAAGAGAAAGCGAAUGACUCUGCAGAGCGAUGUUGUGUUGAUUUCUAACAUAGCUGAGUAGAGAUGGGUGUCAAUAAAACAUUCAACUUUUACACACA